RNAcentral lists this long non-coding RNA (14490 nucleotides) under Nicotiana benthamiana. RNAcentral describes it as "long non-coding RNA (NBEN_LNC028394)". The record is from RNAcentral. Lineage: Eukaryota; Viridiplantae; Streptophyta; Magnoliopsida; Solanales; Solanaceae.
CCUGAAUCAAAUUUCCCUCUAUCCGUUCAAAAACCCAACUAGAACCAGCCCAAACCCAUUUCUUACCCGGUUCGACUCUACGUCGUCCAAACGACGUAGUUAUAAUUCUAAACUACGUCGUUUCAUCCGUCCCCAUCAUUAAAUGACCAAAAUCACCCUUGGUCUUUCAUUUUACAUUAUUCAAAAUAAAGGAAAAACCUAAUCCCCUCUUCUGUUAAAUCACCGCCUCCCUCCGCUAUAGCUCCGCCACCCGAGAAUCGCCUCACUACAACGGAGCACCUCUAAAUAUCACCAAAUUUUAACCAGUUGAUCCUCAAUGUCUCCUCAUUCUUGUCGUACCAUCAAUUUCUCCAAAAGACCACCCAAUUUCUCUGAGUUUUAGAUCACAGAAUAAAAUUCCAAUUUUUUUCUCCCUUUCCCAAAUUUUUUGGAUUAAUCAUCAAUCCAUAGUAAACACCUCGUGAAUUACCCAACUCUUUAACAAAAUAAAUUCGUUUGAAAAAUCUAGAAGACAUUCUUGUGGAUUUGGUUAAAUUUCAGACGAAUGGUUCUCGAGUUUUUCAUUCUUUCGAGCCUCUGUUCCGUUUUCUCUUGCCAAGCAUUGAUGAUUGCUGCAUGAAUCAUUAGCCAUGAACAAAAAUUCGGCUAAUAUUUGAGUGGAAAUUCUCACCGUUUGGUCGAGCUUUUAGAUUCGCCAGAGUUCGAGUUCGAGUCAUCUUUGUUAUCAAAGAUUUUGAAGUUAAUUGGAUUCCCUUGGUAUUUUUCUUGUUCCUUUCUUCUUUAAGUUCAGUCAUAAAGUUCUUCCUCUGUUCUGUAGACUAGAUUAAAUAUGUCGGUCAGUAAUUUAGUAUUGAUUUGCAUUGUUCUGUUAAAGUAUUUUAUUUAGAAAAAAGAAAUAAAGAAUAAUUAUAUAUACACUGUUUCAGUCUCAGAUUGGACUUGCCAUUUCUUUUCUCUAAAGUUUUGUGGUUUGGACUGGGUUUUGGGGUUAUAGUACAAGCCCAUGAGUGAAGGUCCAAAUUUUGAAGCCCAUUCGUUGGCCCAAGUUUGGGACUGAGUCUUGGGUUAAUUUGACCCCAUUUGAUCUUAAGGGUAAAUAUUAGAGUUUUAAAUGUUAGUUUAGGAAUUUAAUUAGGGAGAAUCUGCUGUAAGUAACUGAGCAAACCUCUUGGAAGGUAGGGUGGGAAUUAUUUCGAAAAUCUGAAUUUUAAAACUAAGGUCCCCUAAGCAAAAAUGAAAAUUCAAAAAGGGUUAAAAUGCGAAAUCUGAUAUCCUGGGGAUACCUUAAAAGCUUGCUUAUAAAGGAAUCAUUUCUUCUUUAGCAAGACAGAUAAUUAAGAGAUAAAAAACCUAUAAAAAUCGAAAGGGCUGAAGUUAUUUUCCUUUCAAAAAAAAUACUGAAAUUGUUGAGUUUUCUACUUGAUUUCAAGUUUUAAUUCCUUUGUGAAAAGUCAGAUUUUAAAUGAUUCAGCAGAAAUGGUGUAUUUUGGAUUCUGAACAUCAGAAUUUGGGUUUGAAAAUUUGAGGCUUGACUUGCUAAUUCUGUUACUGUUUCAUUGUUGGGUUAAGUUGAUUUCAGUUGUUGUUUAUUGUUGAUUCUUCACCUUUUUUUUCCAUGUUCAUUACCAUGUAUUACUUCAAACCAUUGUCAACGAGUGACUAAGAACAUGUAUUUCGAGCUGAGGACUGACCGAAUACAAGUUGUUUUGUUCUUUUUGGAUUUCCCUUCAUCUGCUUCUUCUACUUCCUUAAUUGUUCUGUAAUAGACCUCGUAUUGUACAUGUUAGCCUAAUUGCUAUAUUGUAGAAAUGAAUUUGUGCCGUUUAACAGUUCCUCAUUUAUAUAAUGUCUUAAUAGCUUGAUUUACUAUGUUUUCUACUUAAUUUCUGAUUUAGGAAGUAUAGUUUGCAUGCUUAUGUUUGAUUUAGGACUAUUAGAGAUAGUGCAGUAGAUGGUUUUCUAGUUAUACGACCAACUUUUUUUAUAUUUUGCUGAGAGUCAGUGUGUUGAUUUCAUAUGGAAUUUGCAAAAUGACGAGUGUAAUUUGCUAUUUGAAGGGAAUUGUGAUGUGAUCUAAGGUUUGCUUGUUAUGUGUUGCUUGAAAAAAAGGUUUGACUUGUGAUAUAUAGGCCUAUGAUAAGAGUAGUUUAAUUCACCCAUUAGUCUUGUUUAAUGGUUUUGAGAAGGAAACAAUUCAGUGUUUAACGUCCUGUGAAAUGAGAGUUUGAGUCAUGUAGUUUUGAAGUCUGUUUUGUCGCUAGAAGAGUUCUGAGGCAAGGUGUGAGAGAUUUCAUAUUAUACUGUAAAUACUUUCAAAAUUGAGUAAUCUUAGAGGUUGAAUAUUGCUAUGUGUAGUGGAAUAAAUACACCUGAAAUUAACCAUUUCUUUAAGGCUGUUUGGAAUGAGAUUUAGUGAUUGGGGUGAGACUUCGUCUUUGUUUAGUAGAUUCUAAAUGAAUGUGUUUGGUUUCUCAUGACCUUAAAGAAUGCUGCCAUCUUGGAAGGGAUUUGAAUAUAAAAAACGUGUUUUGUAUUUGUCUGCAUUUGCGAAAACUUUCCACUAAUUGUUUAAUUCUAAGCUCUAUGCAUAAUGGGCAAUUUUGGCUUAAUUAUCAUGUCGAGACGUGCAACUGGGCCCCACAGCAUCGACACAAUGCUCUCUUGAUGUUCCAGCUACAGGCUCCAUUCGAGCCUAGUUCCCUUUUGGGUUUUCGGCGAGCAAGCUCGCGUAAAUGCCAAUUGGGCUUCUUGGUCAAUCAGGUUUCUUGCACAGCCGAACGCUGGCUUCAUUUUAUUUUUAAUGAUUCUCAAGGCUAGCUUAUUCGUCUGUCUAGUUUGAAUUCAAACCGCAUUAAGCCGUAGCUAGUUAAUUGGACUUUGCUUUAGACUUGAGGCGAGUCAUAUUAGACAAGUUAUAAUUUACGACCCUCAAAACUAAGUUUAGAAAUAUUUUAAUAAAUAGUCGAGGUGUGCCGUGCCAUAUAAAAUCUUAAAUGCACGGUACUUAUUUAAUCAGUGUUUUAAAAUCCUUAGAAUUCAUGGCGUUCCAUAUAGUGAAUUUUUCAUGGCCCUCGCAAAGUUUAAAAUAUGUAGUUGCUUUAGGCGCGUAAUUUAAAAUUACCUUCCAAACUCAGGUGUGCAUUUCAUGUGACCCUGAUCUAAAUCUCAAUAACGUUAAAUAAAAUGAGGUCGUGGACCGCGAGUGAUUUCAUGUGGUAUGGUUCAAAGGCGUGUUUUAGAUAACGUUGAAUCCUCCAAAAAUUAAUUAAAAGUGGUUAAUAAGUUAAAAUGCACAUUAGGCGAAAGCAUGUGUUAAAAUAAGAUAAUAGGCCAAUUGUAAUAGUUUAAGCGACCAUGGUAGAACCACGGAAUGGGGGAAUGCCUAACACCUUCUCCCGGGUUAAUAGAAUUCCUUAUUAAGAAUUUCUAGUUCACAGACUUCAAAAGCAAAGUUGAAUUUCGUCGAUUUGGGAUUUCAAGCUAAAUCGGUGACUUUGGACACCAUAAUAAAAAUUCCAAUUGCGGAUUCUGAAACAAACUAAUCUCAUUUCGAAUAAUGUCACUUCAAUUAGAAAGACUUACUUGUACUACUUUUGAGUGAUGUAAAAAAAAGGUGUGACAGUAAGGAUAAAUUUGACCAAAUAGUAUAAUAUUAAUCGGAUAAUAUAAUAAAUAUUAAAUAUACAUAAUGUCCGAAAAUAUAUGGAUAUAUCCGGCUAUUCUCCCUUUUAAUUUUGUCGUUGGAAAAAUGCUCUUACACUUCUCAGUGUCUUUCAGUGUUGCCAUAAGUUUAUUGAAAGUACGUAGUUGAAGAAUUUUUACAUCUAUCUUUUUGUUGCAUGUAUUGAAAUAGGUCGUUGUCCCUUUUUGUGAUCUCUGCCUUGGGUGCUGCAUAAUCCACGUGAAUAUUGUUACCAAAACCAUAUUAACCCACAUUUUUCGAAUCACUGUUUCUUUAUCUCUCUGCAUUUACUUUGGUGAGGUGGGGGGUGGGUGGAAAUAUCACUACUUUGAUUUGUCGCUUAGUCAUGUACUCCUACUGAUAUACUGCAUAUAUGCUGCCAACACCCAUAAACUCCUAAUUAGUGCUAUUAAAUAUUAAUUAGUGCAUUCAACAUUCUAAAUAGAGAUUUCUUUUGAUGUUUACAUAGAAAGAAUAUGAAAACAAAUUGGGUGGACUCAAACGACUCGACCGGUCGUUUUGAGCUAUUAGACUUUGAUCGCUAGUUCUUGGGAAUAACUUGCCAUGUGCAAUGUACUAUGACUGAUGUAGAUCAUUGGUUUUGGUUUUCAGGAAAUUUGGAAUAAAUUUGAAAGAAAUAGUCUCAGUUGAAAGCUUUGAAUUUGAAAGGAUUGACCAAGAGUUGACUUUUUGUAUAUGAGCAUGGAUCGGAAUUUUUAUGAUUUGGUUAGCUUCAUUGGGUGAUUUAUGAUUAGGAGUGCCGCUGGAAUGCAUUUUGGAAGUCUGUGGAAGGAUUUGGUUUGAAUUGGCAAAGUUAGUAUUUUGGCGAAUUCCAAUUGAUCGGUGAGAUUUUGAUAUAGAGGUCGGAAUGGAAUUCCGAGAGCUACAGUAGCUUCGUUAUAUCAUUUGGGGUGUUUUUGUAAAAUUUCAGGUUAUUUGGACGUCGUUUGGCCGGACUUUUGAUCGAAAGUGUAUUUCGGAAGUUUUUGGAAACUUAUGCAUGAAUUCGAUGAGUUUUGAGUAAUUUGAUGUUGGUUGAGGUGUUUUGAUUAUUGGAACAAGUUUGAAUGAUGUUAUGGAUUAUGUUGGAAUGUUUGGUUGAGACAGAGGCCUCGGGUGUGUUCCGGAUAGGUCCUGGGGUGUCUUUAGGCUAAAAUAUAGAUGUUGGAGGCCUGGAGGGUCAAAUCCCUGAACCCGCGACCGCUGUCCGUGGUCAUACUUUUCGCUGACCGCGGUGGGAGGUUUCGCGGACGUGGUCGUGCUCUCACGGUCCGUAGUGAAGUAGUUAGGCCACUGAUCCGACUUCGGAAGCUCAUAUCUUUUGGUACACAUGGAUCUUUGAGAUUAUUCAAAAAUAAAAGUUGCAGCUCUUUCAAUCUAGUUUUCAGAAACAUAUUAUAAUGGCCAUUUGGACAUAUGUAGCGAAAGUUAUGACCAAAAUACAAAAGCCUACCAUCGUAAAGAACACUUGUGAGACCACAUCAUUUUUGCGCGGAUCGCUAUGGUUUUGCGCGGCCGCGGUCAAUUUUGUUCGGCCCGUGGAGAUGGAAAUCUGAGAGUUACUCUAUAAAUACAAUGUUUUGGGUUUUAUUUGAUAUUUUGCCCAAGAGAACUCAGCUUUUGGCGAUUUUUCGAAGGUUUUUCAAGAAAUUCGUUGGGGUAAGUGAUUCUAACUCAGAUUUGGCUAGAGUACAUGAAUCUAACAUUGAAUUCAUCAUUUAAUUCGUCAUUCGGGAUGGAAUUCGGGAAAAAAAUUGUGGAAUCUUUCAAAAACAUGAAAUGACGAUUUGACGGACUAAAUGGUGUCGAAAUUGGCUAAUUUUCAUAUGGUUAGACUUGUGAGAGUAUAAGGAUUCUAGUUUAGUAAAUUUUUGUUAAAUCUCGAAAUGUGGGCCCGAGGUUGGGUUUGACCAAUUUUGGAAUUUUGUGGUAAUUUGAUUAUUUUCAAGUGGGCUUUGUUCCCUUGGCAUAUUUUGAUGGUUUAGUACUGAUUUCGGCUAGAUUUAGAGCAUGCAGAGGCCGAUUCGAGAGGCAAAGGAAUCGCUGGCUAGAGUUUAGGCCAGAUAUAGGUGAGUAAUGAUUGUAAAUGAUGUUCUGAGGGUUUGAAACCCCGAAAUUACACAUCGUAGUGCUAUAUUGAGGUGACUUGCACGUUGGAUAGCGCGCGUGGGGUAGAGUACUAUUGGGAAUUGUACUUGGUCCGUCCUGAUUGAUGAUUUUUACUGUGUACUUAACUGAAACAUAUUUGUUAUCCUAAUGAUUUGGGCUGAUUGCUUUAUUUGGGCUUCGUGCCAGCUAUUUGAACCCUUCCGGGGAUGAUUUGUUGAUAUUUCCUCACUGUUUUGAUUUUAUACUUGUAACUCAGUCAUGUAUUAUCUAUUGUUUUCAAAGCUGAGCCAAGUUUACUUUGCUUUAACACGUGAAAUGAGAUUUCCAACAAUGUUUUGGGCUAAGCUUCAUGUUUUACUAUUGCCCGGGGGGCUUAUGUGAUUUUUGACUGAGUAAGGCCGAUGGCUUGUGUUGUGAGGAUAGUUUUGGAUCGGGCUGCACGCCGUAAUAGUGAGAUUCUAAUAUUGAUAUGAGGCCGAUGGCCUAGAUUUGUGCCACGAGAUGUCUUGAUAUUGCGCUUGGGUCGUAAGGGGCCCCUCCGGGUGUCUGAACAUCCCUAGUGAGCGCCGUCGACGAUAAAUUAAUUGGGCUGCACUCCGCAGCAGUACCGAUACUGUUUUAUGUGUUUACUUGUUUAUUGUCUGCCAUUAUCUAUAGUUGUGCUAUUUCAUGUGAUAUCUACCUGAUUGCUUGGCAUUUUCUGCUAAGUGAGUGUUGCGCCCGAGGGGCGAAUUUUCAUGCUUAUUUGCACUAGUUGUCUUCCACUCAUUUUCAUAACUUUUUGAAAAAGUCAUUUUCAAAAGAGGUUUAUACUAAGCUAAGGCGUUUUCUAAGAUUUCACAGUUUCAUUUUUUUUCUCAAAAGGUUAUACACUGCUUCUACACAGCAUGAUGAUUUGCCUUACGUGAUUUCUUAUUGCUCAGUUAUUAUUUACCUUUAUUACUCACUGAGUUGGAGUAUUCACUUUACUCCCUGCACCUCGUGUGCAGAUGCAGGUAUUUAUUCACCCAGUAGCGGGUUUUGAGCGGAUCAGAAGCUGAGUCAUCGGAGUUUAUCUAGGUGACUGCCAGCAUUUGCAGCAACGUUUUUCUCCCUUUUCUUUCAUCAGUCAUGUUUGUACAUUUCAGACCUUGUCAUUGUAUGUAUACUCUAAUAGAUGCUCGUGACUUGUGACACCGCGGUAUUGAGCUGUGUUUGGGUUGCAUUUCGUACUUUAUAAGGAAAUCUUUUACAGAGCUAUAGGAGUUUAGCGAGGUGACUGCUAGCGUUCGCAGCACCAUUUCCUCUCUUAUUUGUUCAUAACUCCUGUUUCUUGUAUUUGUAGACCUUGUAGAACUAUAUUCACACUCUAAUAGAUGCUUGUCACUUCUGACACCCCGGUUUGGGCUGUAUUAGGUUGUACUCCCACUAAUUAUUAUUAUUAUUAAUCAUAUUUAGACUGCUUAUGAACUGUUUAAUUAUUAAAAAAGAUGAAUUGGGUUUAGUUGGCUGGCCUUGUCCUUAUGAGAGGCGCCAUCAUGACCGGCUAUGGGUUUAGGGUCAUGACAAGAUGGUAUUAGAGACUAGGUUACUAGGUCUCAUGAGUCAUGAGCAGGUUUAGUAGAGUCUCGCGGAUCGGUACAGAGACGUCUAUAUUUAUCCUCGAGAGGUUGGCGAACCUUUAGGAAACUCCACAAUCUUGAAUUCUCAUCGUGCGUCCUUGAUUCAGGUUGAAAGGUAACUCUUGAAAUUCCUUCCACUCGUUCGCAUGCGCGCAUGAGCGCUCAAUAUUAGAUGUGCCUUAAUGGCUUGUGAUUCCCUGAUCGAGGGGUGAGAUGUGGCCUUUGCGAGUUUGAUGUUGGGCUAGUCUGAAGGACUUGAGGCCGGAUCUUUGCCUAUGGCUUGAGCACCGAGGUGCUGACUAUGUGAGUAAGUGUUUUGAACUUUCAUGUUCGGUAUUGUCGCUAUUGGUGAAAGUGGACGGCCAGAUAGCCACGUGACGAGUAUGUUAGUACCGUGAGAUGUAUCUGUAUGACGUGGAAGUGAGAAGGAAGUACUGAUGUAUGAUAAAUGAACUAUUACGUGCUUGAUUUCCGUUGUCAUUGAAUGUAUAGCCCCGAGUUAUGGGUGUUUGACGAAUCUUUUCAUGUUUCCUAGUUGGGAGGGGAGUAAAGUUCAUGUUACGAUAUGAGUUUAGACUCGGAAAGGCUAAGUGACUGUGCAAUGUUUGUGACGGUGGAAUGUAUAUAGAAAUAUUAUAUUGAGGCGAAGCAGGCGGGUUAUCUUCUUCGAAGUGAUCUGAUGUGGUCUGAUACCUAUGUGUAUGUUAGAAGACCUCAUGUGUGAUUGAAAAGUACGUGUUAAAAUUUGAAAUUUCAAGUCGCUUAAGAGGGUGGACUUAGCUGUUGUGGGGAUGAAUGCAAAGUUUGCAGAAGUUUUACAAUACUAGAUGAUCUGUAUUUUCACAACUUAUAAACGAUUUGAGUCUAGUCUCACUAUAGUAUUAUGGCGGCAAUAGCGUAUAAAUGUUAUGAGCUAUUGAGUGUAGCUUAAUCUAUGACUUCAAGCCAAGUGGGGGAGUCUGCGGUGAGCAGUUGAUUGCAUAGUUAGGUGCUAUAUUGGUUCCAGUUUGGAGAGUGCAAGUGAGUUAGCUAUGGCUAGAGUAAAGAAAUUUUUUGACAAAGGCUAUAUUGCUUCAUAGGGUUUGAGAAUCACAUAAUGUCUUAAGUUAUUGUUGGUAAGGAAUGCUUGGUGCAUAAAGUGGAUAGAUGCUUAGUUGUAGUUGGGUGAGGAUUCAUUCUGCGGUGCCAGAGUGCUAAUGAGGCACAGGUGGUUCUGUUUGCUCGAUCAGGCUAAUUGCAGUUUAAAUAGAGUGAAGGGUUCUCGAGAGUGGUUCUAAUGUGUUCAAGAUUCUACAUGCAAUAAUUGGGUAUCUUAAAGUUGUUUAUGUGAUUAGAAACUGAGUUUUCAUUGGAAGAGUUCAAGACUUGUGGUAAUUCUAUGUUAAUUAUGGGAUUCUAUGUAUUAGUAUCAGGAAGAUAAAGGUAACAUACCUAGAUUUGCAGGAAGUUCUUCAGAGUAAAUUAUUUAGGAAUGUGGUAUUUUGGGGAAAUACUUGUGUUUUGUAGACCUAGAUUCGCAGGAUGUUCUUUAGAGUAAAGUUUUCAGGAAUGUGGUGUUUCGGGGAAUAUUUGAGAGAGUAUUCAACGGCUUAUAGGUGUUAGUCAGUAUGGUUUUAUGCGGAGGUCUCGUGCGGUAGUCCUGGGUAGAGGCAUUGUGGCACUACAACAAGAGGAAAUAUCAAAUUGAUGAUGAAUAAGAAGAAAAUUUAGAUAGAUGGAGUAGCUUGAAAGUACAUCAAAUCGGUAUGGUAAGGAAAUGAUUAAUUCUUUGUAUAUGUUCGAGGUAAUGGGCUUUUACAUGUACUUUGCAGCAAUGCUCUUGGGUUUUGAUGGCUUGCCUAGCUUGGUCUAGUUAAAAGGGUUUAGUCCUGGAAGUUUAAUUUGUGCAAACGGAAUUGGGAGAGUUCUUGAUGAUUUCUACCGCGGUUGGAGAGGUGCAUUUUCUACGAAUAUGAGAGGCAUAGGAUGUGUACUGAUUUUCUUCUAUAUGGGAUCAACGGAAGUUCUUGACUAGUUCAGUACAUAAGUGUUCGUGGCUCGGAAGAGAGAUGGACUUCUCAUGUUAUCCUAGGAUAGUAUGGUAUAUGCGAUAUGUUAUGGAGGAUUGGGAUUUGCGUGUGUAAGGUUUUGGUUCAGUUCCGAAUGGGAAGUCAUGAAAUUCUUAAGCCGCACGGGCAGUUUUAAGUGAUUAGAGAAUACGAGCUUCAUAUGACUAAGGUGAAUGAUCUUCUGGUAAUUAAGAAAAUGGUAUUGCUAAUCAUAAGGAUUUUACGAGUGUAUAUGCUUAAGAAAAGGCAAUAUGAUUAGGUUGAUAGAACUUCGAUAAUAUUGUGGCACUCUCUUGAUUGGAUCGACCGCUGAUAUUCGAGUUUGCUUGAUGGCACACUGAAUUUCAAGAUAUCAUUCAUGCAAUGAUUGGGUAGUUGAGGUGAUAUGUAUUCGGGCGGCAGAAUUUGGGGUAAGACAUGGUGAUUUGUGUGCUAUAUGGAGUUGGAGACUGGAAGUUCUCGUGUUCAGGCUAUAUUGUUGUUGUGAGUCGCGUAUAUCGGCUGUUUAGCGACUAUUGGGAUUUGAAGACCCGAGUGGAUCUUUUUUCGCUUAGUAUGUUAGAUUUUAUACUUGAUAUUGGGUUCAGACUGGCUGUCUCUAUGUUGCGUCAUUCAGAACUAUUGUGUUAAGACGGCACUGUUGGCUAUGCAGGAAAAUGCCAUAGGAUAAGUGGCGAUGUUCGAUGUAUUAUAUCCAAUUGGGGAUCAGAAUGGUUGUCUCUGUGUUGCAUUAUUCAACACUAUUGCGUUAAGACAGCGAUGUUGGCUAUGCCAGAAAUUGCCACAGGUUGAGUGGCAAUGUUCGGCAGAUUAUGUCCUAUUAGGGGAUUCUAUAUUUGGGCUCUUAUGAUGAGCGUCAGUGCUGAGGCUCCUUAUAUUGAUUUAAUUUCGGUGGUAAAAGAAUUAUCGGAUAUGUUUCUCGUGGCCGGGCAUGUCGCCGGGCAAGGUUGUUGAUUUCGAUAUUGAUUUAGUGCCUUGCACUGUAUUGCAUGGCACUAACAGGAGUUAUAAUAGUGGAAGAACAGCUUCAGGCUUCCUUGACGAUGAGUUUGUUGGCAGGACAAAGUGGUUUCGAGUUCUAACUUGAGUUGGCCUGGUUAGUCCUAAAUUGUACUAUUGAGGGAUAUGUUGAUUCGAUCAUUAUUGAGCUUAAUAGAAAUCUUGGAGAUCUAAGAGUGGCCUUUUUGUGUUGCAAGACGUUAUGAUAUAUUAGUUAUGGACACAUAUGUUGUGGUUCCAUUGAGGUUCAUAGUGGAAUUUGAGCGGGAAGAGUAAUUGGAUGUUAUUCGCUGAAUUGCGUACCGGUUAUGUACUAUCGGGUUCCGUGGUAUGUAUUAUUUGUUUCAAUAUGAGUGUAAUGAUUUGCCUUGGUUCCAGACCUCAAAUUGCGCAUGGUUGUCGGUAUUGAGCAUAGUGAUUUGACGUGUUCCAUGUGGAGCAGUGUUUGGAUAGGAUCGUAUAUUGCAGCGAAGCUAUAUGAAGAUGACCUUGAGGGUUAGAUUCGUGUGUUCUAUUUCUAUGAUAUGAGACGGGUUUUCAACCUUGUGUUAUGAUGGAUCUUGUGAGCUUAAGGGACAACUCUUUCAUUAGGGUUAUUUUUAGGAUUUGAGUAUGUCCGGACUGUUGCUUAUUGGUGCGCAUAGUAUGCCAGUUGUGGCUUAGGCCUAUAUUGAUGUGUGAUGUCACCAGAGUAGUGUGUUGGAUCAGAAGAGAUUGUUGGUAUCAUUAAUGAAUACAGAUUCGAUUUCAGCAUGUUGGAAGGAUGAUUUCGAGGUUUGGCCCUCGAAAAAUUGCUAUGGUAAUUUCCAAGGAGAAGUGGCUUCAUGAAUGGUUGAUAUGAGAAAUGGUUAUGGCUUACUGCAUGUUGUAGUUAUCAUUGGAAUUAUAUAUACAUAAGGGUGUUGGAAUGAAACUUUAGUUGAUAAGGGUUUUUAAACUGGUAUUCGGGCGUGUGUGCAAAUGCUGUGAAUGGAAGUUAUCGCUUUGUGUGUUUGUGUUAUGUGGUAUAUCAUAUAAUUGCACUUGAGGUCGCAGACAUGGGUUAUUACAGCUAGUUUGGGCUUAUUCGGAGUGUAGGUGUGAGGUUUUGAUCGUAUUAAUGGGUUCAGAAGUGGAAAUGUGAUUCUAUGGUUUAUGAGCCAGAUUGAAUUGUGUAAUUUCAGUUAUAAUGUGUUAUCAAAUUUAUAUGAGAUAUGGUGACGUGGGAUCACCCCUGGUUAUAUGCAUGGAAAAGUUAUUCAGCUAUUGGUUGGCUUCUAGAACAACUUUGGGUACAUUCGAGGACGAACAUGUGUUUAAGUGAGGGAUGAUGUAACGACCCGACCGGUCAUUUUGAGCUGUUGAAAUUUGAACGCCAGAUCUUGGGCAUGACUUGCCCCGUGUAAUAUGCUAUGACUGAUAUAGAUCGUUGGUUUUGUGUUUCAAGAAAUUUGGAAUGAAUUUGAAAGAAACAGUCUCAGUUGAAAGCUUUGAAUUGACCAAGAAUUGACUUAUUUGUAUAUGAGUGCGGAUUGGAAUUUUUAUGAGUUGGUUAGCUUCAUUGGGUGAUUUAUGACUUAGGAGGACGACCGAAAUGCAUUUUGGAAGUCCAUGGAAGGAUUUGGCUUGAAUUGACGAAGUUAGUAUUUUUGCGAAUUCCGAUUGAUAAGUGAGAUUAUGAUAUAUAGGCCGGAAUGGAAUUUCGAGAGUUGCGGUAGCUUCGUUAUAUCAUUUGGGGUGUGUGUGCAAAAUUUCAGGUUAUUCAGACAUUAUUUGGUCACACUUUUGAUCGGAAGUGUAUUUCGGAAGUUUUUGGAAACUUUGGCAUGAAUUCGAUGAGUUUUGAGUAAUUUGAUGUUAUUUGAGGUGUUUUGAUGAUUGGAACAAGUUUGAAUGAUGUUAUGGAUUAUGUUGGUAUGUUUGGUUGAGGUCAAGAGGUCCUCGGGGUGAGUUCUGGAUAGGUCCCGCGGUGUCUAUAAGCUAAAAUAUAGCUGUUGGAGGCCUGGAGGGUCGAAUCCCUGAACCCACGACCGCUGUCCGCGGUUAUAUUUUCGCUGACCGUGGUAGGAGGUUUCACGGACGCAGUCAUGCUUUUGCGGUCCGCAGUAAAGGCGCUGGGCCACUGAUCUGACUUCGGAAACUCAUAUCUUUUGAUACUCAAGGAACUUUGAGAUGAUUCAAACAUGAAAGUUGUAGCUCUUUGAAUGUAGUUUUUUCAGAAUAUUAUAAUAGGAAUUUGGACAUCUGUAACGAGCGUCAUGGCCAAAAUCCUAAAGCAUGUCAUUGCAGAGAACACCUGUGCGGCCAAAGUCAUUUUUGCGCGGACGGCACUGGUUUUGCGCGGCUGCGGUCGAUUUUAUACGGCCCACGGAGGUCCAAAUCUGGGGGUUACUCAAUAAAUAUGAGGCUUUGUGUUUUAUUUGAUAGUUUUCCCUAGAGAGCUCGGGUUUUGGUGAUUUUCGAAGGUUUUUCAAGAAAUUCAUCGGAUAAGUGAUUCUAACUCAAAUUUGGCUAGAGUACAUGAAUCUAUCAUUAAAUUCAUGAUUCGGGAUGCAAUUUGGGAAGAAAAUUGUGGAAUCUUUCAAAAUAUAAAAUGAUGAUCCGAAGGACCAAAUGGUGUCGGAAUUGGAUAAUUUUUGUAUGGUUAGACUCGUGAGAGUACACGGAUUCUAGUUUUGUGAAUUUUUGUUAAAUCUAGAAAUGUGGGCCUAGGGUUGGGUUUGACCAAUUUUGGGAAUUUUGUGGUAAUUUGAUUAUUUUCAAGUGGGCUUUGUUCCCUUAGAAUAUUUUGAUGGUUUGGUACUGAUUUCGGCUAGAUUUGGAGCUUUUGGAUGCCGAUUCGAUAGGCAAAGGAAUCGUGGACUAGAGUUUUGGCCAUCUAGAGGUGAGUAAUGAUUCUAAAUGAUGUUCUAAGGGUUUGAAGCUCGAGAAUUGCAUAUCGUACUACUAUAUUAAGGUGACUUGCACGCCGGAUAGCGCGCGUGUGGUAGAGCACCAUUGGAGAUUGUGACUUGGUUCAUCCCGAUUGAUGAUUAUUACUGUGUAUUUGACUGAAACUUAUUUGUUAACCGCAUGAUUUGGGCUGAUUGCUAUAUUUGGGCUUCGUGCCAGCUAUUUGAACCCCUUCGCGGAUGAUUUGUCGAUAUUUCCUCACUAUUUUGAUUUUAUACUUGAACUCAGUCAUGUAUUUUCCAUUGUUUUCAAAACUCAGCAAAGUUUACUUUGAUUUAACACUUGAAAUGAGAUUUCUAACAAUAUUUUUGGUUGAGCAUCAUGUUGUACUGUUGCCCGAGAGGCUUAUGUGAUUUUUGACUGAGUAAGGCUGAUGGCCUAUGUUGUGAGGAUACUUUUGGAUCGGGCUGCACGCGUUAGUAGUGACAUAUUGAUACUGAUAUGAGGCCGAGGGCCUAGAUUUGAUGCCACAAGAUGGCUUGAUAUUUCUCUUGGGUCGUAAGGGGCCCCUCCUGGAGUUUGCACACCCGCAGUAAGUGCCUUCGAUGAUAAACGGAUCGGGCUGCACGUCACAUCGGCAUGUGGAUCAGGCUGCACGUGCAGCGGUGCCGGUACUAUUUUAUGUGUUUACUUCUUUAGUCUUUUGCCAUUAUCUGUAGCUGUGCUAUUUCGUGUGAUAUCUACCUGAUUGCCUGGCAUUUUUUGCUGAGUGAGUGUUGUGCCCGAGGGGUAAAUUUCCGUGCUUAUAUGAACUAGUUGUCUUGCACUCAUUUGCAUAGCUGAUAAAAAAAGUCAUUUUCAAAAGAGGUUCAAACUGAGCUAAGGCAUUUCCUAUGAUUUCACAGCUUUAUUGUUUUUCUCAAGAGGUUUUACACUGCUUCUAUACAGCAUGAUGAUUUGCCUUACGUGAUUUCUUACUGGUCAAUUGUUAUUUACCUUUAUUACUCACUGAAUUGGAGUACUCACUUUAUUCCCUACAACUCGUGUGUAGAUGCAAGUAUUUAUUCACCCGGUAGCGGGUUUUGGCUCAUUGGAGGCAUAGCUAUAGGAAUUUAGCGAGGUGACUGCCAGCGCUCGCAGUACCAUUUCCUCUCUCUUUUGUUCAUAACUCAUGUUUCUU